CUAUUAUUUCCUUUGGCCCAAAUCGAAAAACCUAAACCCUCAGCUCCCUCUUAUUUCCUUCCCCCAAUUCCCUCACCAUCUUCACAAAUUUUCCUCUCCCACAGCCUCUCUCGGUCAGUCCAGUCGGUCUCUCCUCUGCACUAAUCCCCCACCCCUUAAUCUCUUUGCAACAGAGGACAGGGUCAUGCCAUUGCCUACCCCUCAACCUCGCCAAUGCACAGAAGAAAGGCGUUGCUACUACUCAUUCGUCCCACAUCGCUGAAGAACGAGUCGCCAGUGAUUGGGUUUUUAGUUCACAGGUCUUUGGGUUUUCUUUUUCAAUUUUUUUUCUAAAUAUCUAACAUCUGGUUGUGAUUGAAGAUUUUGUUAACAUCUCGCUGAGAAGGUUAAAUUAAGUUCGUGUUUUGGACUUGGUGCCUGCCAAUUUAUCUAUUUCUUAAGUGGUGGGUUGAUGCUAGGGAUAUAGGUGAUGAAUCCAUUCCUAUUCGCUAGCGGCAACAUUUGAGCUAAUCAAGUUUGGGUGGUAUAAGAUGGAAGCAUUGGAAGUGUUUUUUUUUUCUCCAUUUUAGGUUCAUUCCUAAUGGUCAUACUAUCUCAACCCAUAUCACGGGCACCUUUAGGGAGUGACAGGAUGCUACUAGUUACACAUGGAAGGAUGUCUCUCCAUCUACUCGUGACUUCUACUUAUGGUCAUUAUUAUUUAUUUCUAACAAAAAUAUAUAUACUUACUAUUAUUGAUAUAAUUAUUUUAAUAAUCGAAAUACUGAUUUUUUAGAAAAAAAUAUCAAUGGAAUGCAACUGAUGAUGGCAUAAUUAACGACACUUGGGAUAAAGUGGUAUCUCUUCUAUACAAUAAGAAAUUAUACACUUGGCGGAAGAAAGGAACAAAACCUAUAGGUGUUGCACAAGAUGUAUGGGAUAGCUGGAUGGCACACUGGUCUACUCCAUAGUGGAUUGCUAAAUCUUGUAUUGCUUCUCAAAAUUGGCGUAGCGAGACUGAUAGUCUAGGCACUGGUUUAAGCAAGCAUACUGGUAAUUUCAGGUCUACUGUGGAGCACAGUCUGAAAAUGAAGAACUACACCGUGAUCCUAAUUCUUGGGAGCUGUUUAAAAAGUUGCAUAAAAAAAAGGAUGGAACCUUUGUUGAUGCCAGGUCUCAAAGCAUUAAUAUAAGUAAUUUUUAUAUUUCUUUUAUUUUCAUUUCAAUUAUUAUGCAUAUGAUAUAUUGUUAUUGUUAUUAGAUUUCAUUUCAUUUUUACUGUUAUUUGUAUCUUAUGAAUGUUUUAGAAGUGCUUGAGUUUGCGAGUAAAUUAUGUAGUUUUGGUGAUAUAAGGAGAAUAUUGGAAGUGAUAUGAUUCAUUGUAAUAUUGUUGAUUGACUAAUAUAAAUUGAGCAAUAUUGUUAAUGUUUUAGAAGUGCUUGUGUUUGUGUAUAAAUGUUGUAGUAGUGGAUGGUAUAAGGAGGAUAUUGGAAGUGUUAUUUUGUAUGUAGGAAUAUUAUUUUGCCUUCAUUAGCAGGUAUGAUAUGUCCUGUUACAGACGGUACUCUGUCGAAAUUUUCUUAAUUAUUAAGUUU
Molecule: unclassified non-coding RNA, 1574 nt
Filed under: Hevea brasiliensis (rubber tree)
Lineage: Eukaryota; Viridiplantae; Streptophyta; Magnoliopsida; Malpighiales; Euphorbiaceae
Source: RNAcentral